This 380-nucleotide unclassified non-coding RNA is filed under the name Hevea brasiliensis (rubber tree). The record is from RNAcentral. Lineage: Eukaryota; Viridiplantae; Streptophyta; Magnoliopsida; Malpighiales; Euphorbiaceae.
AAGUGCUCCACGUAUUCAGGAUAACAUAUAUUCUCCUCGGCUAGUUACGUCAAAAUACAGCAAUGAUGCACUUCGUCGCUUGAUUGGUCCUGUUGGUGCUUUGAAGAGGAAAAUUGAAGAUGAAACAGGUGCACGGAUCUCGGUUAGUGAUGGAACACUUACUAUAAUUGCCAAAAAUCAGUCGGUGAUGGAGAAAGUACAGGAGAAGGUUGAUUUUAUAAUUGGACGUGAAAUUGAGAUUGGAGGAGUAUAUAAAGGUAUUGUUGUAUCUGUUAAAGAAUAUGGCGCCUUUGUGGAGUUUAAUGGUGGACAACAGGGCCUCUUACAUAUUUCAGAAUUAUCACACGACCCGGUUUCCAGAGUUUCAGAUGUGGUAUCUG